GACAGAGGGUGCAAACGUUAUUCGGAAUCACUGGGCGUAAAGGGUGCGUAGACGGUUUAUUAAGUUCGUUGUUAAAGGCUCCGGCCCAACCGGAGUAUUGCGAUGAAAACUGGUAAACUAGAGGAUGAGAGAGAGAAGUGGAAUUCCCGGAGUAGCGGUAAAAUGCGUGGAUCUCGGGAGGAACACCAAUGGCGAAGGCAGCUUCUUGGCUCAUAUCUGACGUUGAGGCACGAAAGCGUGGGGAGCAAACAGG
This 253-nucleotide ribosomal RNA is filed under the name uncultured bacterium. Its description in RNAcentral is "partial 16S ribosomal RNA". It matches the Rfam family "Bacterial small subunit ribosomal RNA", at positions 524 to 776 of the family's 1533-position model. The record is from RNAcentral.